GCGGGCGUAGCUCAGUUGGUUAGAGCGCCAGGUUGUGGUUCUGGAGGUCGCGAGUUCGAUUCUCGUCGCUCGCCCCA
RNAcentral lists this transfer RNA (77 nucleotides) under Sphingobacteriia bacterium. RNAcentral describes it as "tRNA-His". It matches the Rfam family "tRNA". From Rfam's summary of the family: Transfer RNA (tRNA) molecules are approximately 80 nucleotides in length. Their secondary structure includes four short double-helical elements and three loops (D, anti-codon, and T loops). Lineage: Bacteria; Pseudomonadati; Bacteroidota; Sphingobacteriia. The record is from RNAcentral.